GAGGGUAUAGCUCAGUGGUAGAGUGCAUGCUUAGCAUGCACGAGAUCCUGGGUUCAAUCCCCAGUGCCUCCA
Molecule: transfer RNA, 72 nt
Filed under: Camelus bactrianus (Bactrian camel)
Lineage: Eukaryota; Metazoa; Chordata; Mammalia; Artiodactyla; Camelidae
Also listed under: 2 other names
Rfam family: tRNA
About the family: Transfer RNA (tRNA) molecules are approximately 80 nucleotides in length.
Source: Rfam by way of RNAcentral